Molecule: ribosomal RNA, 253 nt
Filed under: uncultured bacterium
Lineage: Bacteria
Description: partial 16S ribosomal RNA
Rfam family: Bacterial small subunit ribosomal RNA
Source: RNAcentral
UACGUAGGGACCAAGCGUUGUCCGGAAUUAUUGGGCGUAAAGCGCGUGUAGGCGGUUUGUUAAGUCCGAUGUGAAAUGUCGGGGCUCAACCCCGGAACUGCAUUGGAAACUGGCUGACUUGAGUCCGGAAGAGGAGACUGGAAUUCCUGGUGUAGCGGUGAAAUGCGCAGAUAUCAGGAAGAACACCCGUGGCGAAGGCGGGUCUCUGGGACGGUACUGACGCUCAUGCACGAAAGCGUGGGGAGCAAACAGG